RNAcentral lists this transfer RNA (74 nucleotides) under Clostridia bacterium. RNAcentral describes it as "tRNA-Gly". It matches the Rfam family "tRNA". Rfam says of the family: Transfer RNA (tRNA) molecules are approximately 80 nucleotides in length. Their secondary structure includes four short double-helical elements and three loops (D, anti-codon, and T loops). RNAcentral also lists the same sequence under 1 other name. The record is from RNAcentral. Lineage: Bacteria; Bacillati; Bacillota; Clostridia.
GCAGGCGUAGCUCAAUGGCAGAGCGCUCGCUUCCCAAGCCAGACACGCGGGUUCGAUUCCCGUCGCCUGCUCCA